Molecule: ribosomal RNA, 484 nt
Filed under: Xerocomus parvulus
Lineage: Eukaryota; Fungi; Basidiomycota; Agaricomycetes; Boletales; Boletaceae
Description: eukaryotic LSU rRNA
Rfam family: 5.8S ribosomal RNA (bases 1-106)
Source: RNAcentral
GAAUUGCGAUAAGUAAUGUGAAUUGCAGAUUUCCAGUGAAUCAUCGAAUCUUUGAACGCACCUUGCGCUCCUUGGUAUUCCGAGGAGCAUGCCUGUUUGAGUGUCAUUGAAUUCCUCAACCCGUGUCUUGAUUGAUUUUCAAGGGCAUGGCUUGGAAUUUGGGGGUUUGCUGGUGGCGAGAAUAUCAUCGACCCGCCGGCUCUCCUGAAAUGCAUUAGCAAUGGGUGGCUGGUCUUUUCGACGUGGAUACGGCCUUUGACGUGAUACUGAUCGUCAUGGCUGGAAGUGUCGUGGACGAUGCAUGGAUAAGCCCAAUGCUUUCAAUGAUGGUUUGGAUCGAUCACUCGUGCUUGAGAGGCCAUGCUUUUAGUUAUUAGUCGGUCGCAAGGCCGGCGAACACAGAACAAGCUUUUCUUUGGACUUGUGUACAUGUUCCUCCUCGAAACUUGACCUCAAAUCAGGUAGGACUACCCGCUGAACUUAA